CCUACGGGUGGCAGCAGUGGGGAAUAUUGCACAAUGGGGGAAACCCUGAUGCAGCGACGCCGCGUGAGCGAUGAAGUAUUUCGGUAUGUAAAGCUCUAUCAGCAGGGAAGAAAAUGACGGUACCUGACUAAGAAGCCCCGGCUAACUACGUGCCAGCAGCCGCGGUAAUACGUAGGGGGCAAGCGUUCUCCGGAUUUACGGGGUGUAAAGGGAGCGUAGACGGCGAUGCAAGCCAGAUGUGAAAGCCCGGGGCUCAACCCCGGGACUGCAUUUGGAACUGUAUAGCUGGAGUGUCGGAGAGGCAGGCGGAAUUCCUAGUGUAGAGGUGAAAGGCGUAGAUAGUAGGAGGAACACCAGUGGCGAAGGCGGCCUGCUGGACGAUGACUGACGUUGAGGCUCGAAAGCGUGGGGAGCAAACAGGAAUAGAGACCCCUGUAGUC
Molecule: ribosomal RNA, 440 nt
Filed under: uncultured bacterium
Lineage: Bacteria
Description: partial 16S ribosomal RNA
Rfam family: Bacterial small subunit ribosomal RNA
Source: RNAcentral